AGUGAACGCUGGCGGAAGGCCUAACACAUGCAAGUCGAACGGCAGCACAGUAAGAGCUUGCUCUUACGGGUGGCGAGUGGCGGACGGGUGAGGAAUACAUCGGAAUCUACUUUUUCGUGGGGGAUAACGUAGGGAAACUUACGCUAAUACCGCAUACGACCUACGGGUGAAAGCAGGGGAUCUUCGGACCUUGCGCGAUUGAAUGAGCCGAUGUCGGAUUAGCUAGUUGGCGGGGUAAAGGCCCACCAAGGCGACGAUCCGUAGCUGGUCUGAGAGGAUGAUCAGCCACACUGGAACUGAGACACGGUCCAGACUCCUACGGGAGGCAGCAGUGGGGAAUAUUGGACAAUGGGCGCAAGCCUGAUCCAGCCAUACCGCGUGGGUGAAGAAGGCCUUCGGGUUGUAAAGCCCUUUUGUUGGGAAAGAAAAGCAGCAGGUUAAUACCCCGCUGUUCUGACGGUACCCAAAGAAUAAGCACCGGCUAACUCCGUG
This 492-nucleotide ribosomal RNA is filed under the name uncultured bacterium. RNAcentral describes it as "partial 16S ribosomal RNA". It matches the Rfam family "Bacterial small subunit ribosomal RNA", at positions 29 to 507 of the family's 1533-position model. The record is from RNAcentral.